CUCCCUCAGCCUUACUCCGGGGGCUUCUGCUGUGGAGUGCCCUGGCAUUGCCUGGGGGGACACGAGGAAGCGCAGAUCCCUCCCCAGGGAUCCUUAGCUUAAAGCCGUGCUCCUGUGGGGCCUACCAACUGCGCUGACACA
Molecule: small nucleolar RNA, 141 nt
Organism: Pipistrellus kuhlii (Kuhl's pipistrelle)
Lineage: Eukaryota; Metazoa; Chordata; Mammalia; Chiroptera; Vespertilionidae
Product: small nucleolar RNA SNORA49
Exons: 1
Source: RefSeq, a predicted model, not a curated record